AGUGGAUAUGCAUGAGUAGGACAUCAGCACGCCUACGCACAAACCAUUUGUGACUUAACCUUACUGUUGCCUCGGCGUAUGCUGGCCCCUAGGGGUCCCUCUUGUCACAAGAGGAGCAGGCACGCCGGCGGCCAAGUUAACUCUUGUUUUUACACUGAAACUCUGAGAAAAAAACAAAAUGAAUCAAAACUUUCAACAACGGAUCUCUUGGUUCUGGCAUCGAUGAAGAACGCAGCGAAAUGCGAUAAGUAAUGUGAAUUGCAGAAUUCAGUGAAUCAUCGAAUCUUUGAACGCACAUUGCGCCCUCCGGUAUUCCGGAGGGCAUGCCUGUUCGAGCGUCAUUUCAACCCUCAAGCCUGGCUUGGUGUUGGGGCACUGCCUGUAAAAGGGCAGGCCCUCAAAUCUAGUGGCGAGCUCGCCAGGACCCCGAGCGUAGUAGUUAAACCCUCGCUUUGGAAGGCCCUGGCGGUGCCCUGCCGUUAAACCCCCAACUCUUUGAAAAUUUGACCUCGGAUCAGGUAGGAAUACCCGCUGAACUUAAGCAUAUCAAAACCCGGAGG
RNAcentral lists this ribosomal RNA (560 nucleotides) under Fusarium verticillioides. Its description in RNAcentral is "eukaryotic LSU rRNA". The stretch from base 188 to 341 matches the Rfam family "5.8S ribosomal RNA". The record is from RNAcentral. Lineage: Eukaryota; Fungi; Ascomycota; Sordariomycetes; Hypocreales; Nectriaceae.